GAUGAUCACGAUGAUGACGACGAAAAAGAUUGUAAAAACGACGACGGAGAAAAUGGUGGUGGUGGAAGUGGCAAGAGUUUCAAACUGUUUGGUGUUUUGCUGAAAGGGAACACGAAGAAGCGGGGUCGUGCUGAGAAUCUUGGGUUUACUGGGCCUGGGCCCCAUGCAAAGGAAAUUAAGAUCUGCAACUGAACAACUAGGAGGUGUUCAUGGUAAGAUCCAUGCGCCUGCGUGCUGCGUGCUGCCUGCCUCUGCAUCUAAUAUGAAGAUAGAGGGUAUCAGAACAAGUCUCUGUAAUCGUCGACGUAUCAUCUGUAAUGUAGUAAUUGUGUUGGGAAUGUAAUAAAGGUGGAUCUUAUAUACAUCCACACAUGCACUUACACAUGUA
Molecule: unclassified non-coding RNA, 388 nt
Filed under: Hevea brasiliensis (rubber tree)
Lineage: Eukaryota; Viridiplantae; Streptophyta; Magnoliopsida; Malpighiales; Euphorbiaceae
Source: RNAcentral